GAUCCUGCCGGACCUGACUGCUAUCGGAUUGAUACUAAGCCAUGCGAGUCUUUGCAGUAAUGCAAGGCAUACGGCUCAGUAACACGUAGUCAACUUACCCUAUGGACGAGGAUAAUCUCGGGAAACUGAGCAUAAUACUCGAUAGAUCAUAAUGCCUGGAAUGGUUUAUGGUUGAAAUGAUUCGUCGCCGUAGGAUGGGACUGCGGCCUAUCAGCUUGUUGGUGAGGUAAUGGCCCACCAAGGCGAUUACAGGUACGGGCUCUGAGAGGAGAAGCCCGGAGAUGGGUACUGAGACAAGGACCCAGGCCCUAUGGGGCGCAGCAGGCGAGAAAACUUUGCAAUGUGCGAAAGCACGACAAGGUUAAUCCGAGUGAUUUCUGCUAAAGAAAUCUUUUGCAAGUCAUAAAACCACUAGUGAAUAAGGGGUGGGCAAGUUCUGGUGUCAGCCGCCGCGGUAAAACCAGCACCUCAAGUGGUCAGGAGGAUUAUUGGGCCUAAAGCAUCCGUAGCCGGCUCUGUAAGUUUUCGGUUAAAUCCAUGUGCUCAACACAUGGGCUGCCGAAAAUACUGCAUAGCUAGGGAGUGGGAGAGGUAGACGGUACUCGGUAGGAAGGGGUAAAAUCCUUUGAUCUAUCGAUGACCACCUGUGGCGAGGGCGGUCUACCAGAACACGUUCGACGGUGAGGGAUGAAAGCUGGGGGAGCAAACCGGAUUAGAUACCCGGGUAGUCCCAGCUGUAAACGAUGCAGACUCGAUGAUGCAUUGGCAUAUAGCCAGUGCAGUGUCGCAGGGAAGCCGUUAAGUCUGCCGCCUGGGAAGUACGUACGCAAGUAUGAAACUUAAAGGAAUUGGCGGGGGAGCACCACAAGGGGUGAAGCCUGCGGUUCAAUUGGAUCAACGCCGGG
RNAcentral lists this ribosomal RNA (905 nucleotides) under uncultured archaeon. Its description in RNAcentral is "bacterial SSU rRNA". It matches the Rfam family "Archaeal small subunit ribosomal RNA", at positions 10 to 922 of the family's 1478-position model. The record is from RNAcentral.